Molecule: ribosomal RNA, 356 nt
Filed under: Paraburkholderia tropica
Lineage: Bacteria; Pseudomonadati; Pseudomonadota; Betaproteobacteria; Burkholderiales; Burkholderiaceae
Description: bacterial SSU rRNA
Rfam family: Bacterial small subunit ribosomal RNA
Source: RNAcentral
AUGCAGCGUGUGUGAAGAAGGCCUUCGGGUUGUAAAGCACUUUAUGUCCGGAAAGAAAUCCCUGGUCCUAAUAUGGCCGGGGGAUGACGGUACCGGAAGAAUAAGCACCGGCUAACUACGUGCCAGCAGCCGCGGUAAUACGUAGGGUGCAAGCGUUAAUCGGAAUUACUGGGCGUAAAGCGUGCGCAGGCGGUGAUGUAAGACCGAUGUGAAAUCCCCGGGCUCAACCUGGGAACUGCAUUGGUGACUGCAUCGCUUGAGUAUGGCAGAGGGGGGUAGAAUUCCACGUGUAGCAGUGAAAUGCGUAGAGAUGUGGAGGAAUACCGAUGGCGAAGGCAGCCCCCUGGGUCAAUACU